Molecule: long non-coding RNA, 1891 nt
Filed under: Oryctolagus cuniculus (rabbit)
Lineage: Eukaryota; Metazoa; Chordata; Mammalia; Lagomorpha; Leporidae
Description: lncRNA (ENSOCUG00000036326.1)
Source: RNAcentral
GGGCCCCGAGCCUAGGGCCCCACAUGCUCUCAAGCGUGGCCCAGCUGCUCCUCUCCCCAACAGCCAGGACCAACAUCUGCCCGUUUAGGCGAGCGCCAGGGACGAAGCCCAUUUGCGUCCUGGAAACUUGUCUGGGCCCUGGACGCUGGGGACCGGGAUCGGGGCCUCGCUCAUUCAAUUGGAUGCAGAGCCGGGGAUCUGGCUUGCUGCCAAGGAAGCCCCAGUGCAGGGCAGACAGCGCCCAUGGGGCCACCCUGGAACAGAUGGGCGGGCAGCUGGCACGAGUGGACACCUGGCCUUCUGGGCGGGGCUUCCAUCGCACACAGAUGCAGGAACAGGACUGGGAGGGGAGGGCUCCAAGGGGGGUGGCACUCGGGCUGCCUGGCGAGGCCAGAAAGGUGGGGUGGCAGGAGUAGCCAUCGGCGGGGACGAGGCCAGGCCACGGUGGGCUCCAGGCGCUUGUUUUGCUUCUGUCUGGGAAGGAGGACACAGCAGCUGCCUCGGGCAGUCGUCAUGGAGAUAACAGGACGCCCCCUUCGCACCAACCUAGGGGCCACACUCAGCAGAGACCUGCUCCGUGCCAGGUGCUGUUCUGGGCACGGACACAGCCAAGGACACGGCCCGCAGCCCGUUUCCCAUCUGCGCCGAGGGGCAGGGCACGGCCUAGUCACCGGCUUUGUCUGUCCCGAGGCCACAGUUUCAUCGGCCUUCGCUCUGCCCGCAAGCCUCAGUUUGCUCAUCUGUCAAGUGGAGCUGCUGGCGAAGGAUUUCAGGGGCCGAGGACUGGGAAAGCCUUGGCGAGUGUUGGAGGACGGCAGGAACUCUUUCCACGUGGGAGGCCUGAGCGCCGUCGAGAGGGGCCGAGCUCCCAGGCCACUGUCAGGCUCCUGAGGACACUGGCAUGGCCAGGUCCUCAGGCCGUGGGGAUGGGGGCGGAGGGGGGCCGGGUGCCUCCUGUGGCCUUGUCACUGCACAUCCAGGGCCUGUUUUUUUCUGGAAAACAAGCGACAUUCAUCACGAGUGACAGCGGGGCCCUAAUGCAAUCUCCCUGGAGCCAUGAAUUGCAAAUGCGCAGGGAGGCGGCUCCUCCAUUAGGGCCCCAGAGGUCACGUGCCCCGGCUCCCGGGGCGGGUGCUGCUCAGAAGUGGGGACACCUGCCAAGCAGGUGGGUCCAGGGCUCCUUAGAGUCACCUGGGCUGGGCCCCAGCCGCCUGCCCGGUCCUUGGGGCCCGGGAGUGAAGAGAAGGCUCCAGAGUGGGAGGAAGCGGGGGCUGAUGCUGGUGACUCAACUUGCCCUUGUCCCACUGCGAGAUUCACAGGCAGUUCCCCAGGGGCAAGCCGGGUGAGCAGGCGGGGCAGGCAGGUCCCCGUCUGACACGUCACCUGCCUGGCCAUCAGGAGGGCCCGCCCCAGGGGGCCGGAGGCACACAUGUGACCGGGCGGUGCCAAGGACCCCGAGGGUGAGGCCUGGGCUGUGCCCGUUGGCCUCCUCCCAGCCGCCCACACACAGGAGCCCACGCCCAUCAUCCCCCCUUUCCCCCCCCACAUCCUGGGCACCUGCAGCUUGGACCCUGCACUGCUGUUCUCUGCUCCUGGGCCUGGGCCUGGGCCUCACGUGCGGGCCCAGCUCCCUGCCAGCCGGGCACUGAGUCAGGGCGCGCCUGCCUGCCUGCCUCUGGCACCCGGUGUAGACGGGUGGGUUUGUUUUUCCCUGUGUGUUUUGGGUUCAGGGAAAAAAAAAAAUCUCUAACCAAGCACUGGCCCUGGGGCGUUUUCCCCUUCAUUUUUCUGCCCAGGUGUCUCUGAAGGGAACUUCAUUGUUUGUUUCAAAUUCAUUUGCACUUAACUCAUCUGGAAGUUUUGCAAGAGUUGUUUGAUGUCCAAGGAGCCU